RNAcentral lists this ribosomal RNA (253 nucleotides) under uncultured bacterium. Its description in RNAcentral is "partial 16S ribosomal RNA". It matches the Rfam family "Bacterial small subunit ribosomal RNA", at positions 524 to 776 of the family's 1533-position model. The record is from RNAcentral.
UACGGGGGGGGCAAGCGUUGUUCGGAGUUACUGGGCGUAAAGGGCUCGUAGGUGGCCAACUAAGUCAGACGUGAAAUCCCUCGGCUUAACCGGGGAACUGCGUCUGAUACUGGAUGGCUUGAGUUCGGGAGAGGGAUGCGGAAUUCCAGGUGUAGCGGUGAAAUGCGUAGAUAUCUGGAGGAACACCGGUGGCGAAGGCGGCAUCCUGGACCGACACUGACACUGAGGAGCGAAAGCCAGGGGAGCAAACGGG